UGACCGAGCAACGCCGCGUGAGUGAAGAAGGUUUUCGGAUCGUAAAGCUCUGUUAUAAGCGAAGAACGGGAGUAAGAGUGGAAAGUUUACUCUGUGACGGUAGCUUAUCAGAAAGGGACGGCUAACUACGUGCCAGCAGCCGCGGUAAUACGUAGGUCCCGAGCGUUGUCCGGAUUUAUUGGGCGUAAAGCGAGCGCAGGUGGUUUAAUAAGUCUGAAGUUAAAGGCAUUGGCUCAACCAAUGUACGCUUUGGAAACUGUUAAACUUGAGUGCAGAAGGGGAGAGUGGAAUUCCAUGUGUAGCGGUGAAAUGCGUAGAUAUAUGGAGGAACACCGGUGGCGAAAGCGGCUCUCUGGUCUGUAACUGACACUGAGGCUCGAAAGCGUGGGUAGCGAACAGGAUUAGAUACCCUGGUAGUCCACGCCGUAAACGAUGAGUGCUAGGUGUUGGGUCCUUUCCGGGACUCAGUGCCGCAGCUAACGCAUUAAGCACUCCGCCUGGGGAGUACGACCGCAAGGUUGAAACUCAAAGGAAUUGACGGGGGCCCGCACAAGCGGUGGAGCAUGUGGUUUAAUUCGAAGCAACGCGAAGAACCUUACCAGGUCUUGACAUCCCGAUGCCCGUCCUAGAGAUAGGAUUUUACUUCGGUACAUCGGUGACAGGUGGUGCAUGGUUGUCGUCAGCUCGUGUCGUGAGAUGUUGGGUUAAGUCCCGCAACGAGCGCAACCCCUAUUGUUAGUUGCCAUCAUUGAGUUGGGCACUCUAGCGAGACUGCCGGUAAUAAACCGGAGGAAGGUGGGGAUGACGUCAAAUCAUCAUGCCCCUUAUGACCUGGGCUACACACGUGCUACAAUGGUCGGUACAACGAGCAGCGAACUGGUGACAGUAAGCCAAUCUCUUAAAGCCGAUCUCAGUUCGGAUUGUAGGCUGCAACUCGCCUACAUGAAGUCGGAAUCGCUAGUAAUCGCGGAUCAGCACGCCGCGGUGAAUACGUUCCCGG
RNAcentral lists this ribosomal RNA (1000 nucleotides) under Streptococcus sp. STR_40NG18. Its description in RNAcentral is "bacterial SSU rRNA". It matches the Rfam family "Bacterial small subunit ribosomal RNA", at positions 384 to 1377 of the family's 1533-position model. The record is from RNAcentral. Lineage: Bacteria; Bacillati; Bacillota; Bacilli; Lactobacillales; Streptococcaceae.